GACGUUACCUACACGAAGAAGCACCGGCUAACUCCGUGCCAGCAGCCGCGGUAAUACGGACGGGUGCGAGCGUUAAUCGGAAUUACUGGGCGUAAAGCGCAUGCAGGCGGCCUGUUAAGUCAGAUGUGAAAGCCCGGGGCUUAACCUCGGAAUUGCAUUUGUAAACUGGCAGGCUAGAGUCUUGUAGAGGGGGGUAGGAAUUUCAGGUGUAGCGGUGAAAUGCGUAGAGAUCUGAAGGAAUACCAGUGGCGAAGGCGGCCCCCCUCGGACAAAGACUGACGCUCAGAUGCGAAAGCGUGGGGAGCAAACAGGAUUAGAUACCCCUGGUAG
Molecule: ribosomal RNA, 330 nt
Filed under: uncultured bacterium
Lineage: Bacteria
Description: bacterial SSU rRNA
Rfam family: Bacterial small subunit ribosomal RNA
Source: RNAcentral